This 53-nucleotide transfer RNA is filed under the name Bacillus cereus BAG3O-2. RNAcentral's name for it is "tRNA-Leu". It matches the Rfam family "tRNA", at positions 20 to 71 of the family's 71-position model. From Rfam's summary of the family: Transfer RNA (tRNA) molecules are approximately 80 nucleotides in length. Their secondary structure includes four short double-helical elements and three loops (D, anti-codon, and T loops). Lineage: Bacteria; Bacillati; Bacillota; Bacilli; Caryophanales; Bacillaceae. The record is from RNAcentral.
AGAGCACCUGGUUUGGGACCAGGGGGUCGCAGGUUCAAAUCCUGUCUUCCCGA